UACAGAGGUCUCAAGCGUUGUUCGGAAUCACUGGGCGUAAAGCGCACGUAGGCGGACUCUUAAGUCGGUGGUGAAAUCCUGGAGCUCAACUCCAGAACUGCCUUCGAUACUGAGAGUCUCGAGUCCGAGAGAGGUGAGUGGAACUGCGAGUGUAGAGGUGAAAUUCGUAGAUAUUCGCAAGAACACCAGUGGCGAAGGCGGCUCACUGGCUCGGUACUGACGCUGAGGUGCGAAAGCGUGGGGAGCAAACAGG
This 253-nucleotide ribosomal RNA is filed under the name uncultured bacterium. RNAcentral's name for it is "partial 16S ribosomal RNA". It matches the Rfam family "Bacterial small subunit ribosomal RNA", at positions 524 to 776 of the family's 1533-position model. The record is from RNAcentral.